UAGGGAAUCUUCGGCAAUGGGGGGAACCCUGACGGAGCAACGCCGCGUGAGUGAAGAAGGAUUUCGGUUCGUAAAACUCUGUUGUUAGAGAAGAACAGCGCAUAGAGUAACUGUUAUGCGUGUGACGGUAUCUAACCAGAAAGCCACGGCUAACUACGUGCCAGCAGCCGCGGUAAUACGUAGGUGGCAAGCGUUGUCCGGAUUUAUUGGGCGUAAAGCGAGCGCAGGCGGUCAAUUAAGUCUGAUGUGAAAGCCCCCGGCUAAACCGGGGAGGGUCAUUGGAAACUGGUUGACUUGAGUGCAGAAGAGGAGAGUGGAAUUCCAUGUGUAGCGGUGAAAUGCGUAGAUAUAUGGAGGAACACCAGUGGCGAAGGCGACUCUCUGGUCUGUAACUGACGCUGAGGCUCGAAAGCGUGGGUAGCAAACAGG
RNAcentral lists this ribosomal RNA (429 nucleotides) under Bacteroidota bacterium. Its description in RNAcentral is "Bacteroidetes bacterium partial 16S ribosomal RNA". It matches the Rfam family "Bacterial small subunit ribosomal RNA", at positions 355 to 776 of the family's 1533-position model. The record is from RNAcentral. Lineage: Bacteria; Pseudomonadati; Bacteroidota.